RNAcentral lists this long non-coding RNA (234 nucleotides) under Elaeis guineensis (African oil palm). Its description in RNAcentral is "long non-coding RNA (EGUI_LNC068830)". Lineage: Eukaryota; Viridiplantae; Streptophyta; Magnoliopsida; Arecales; Arecaceae. The record is from RNAcentral.
AAUGAUGACAAAGAGUUUUGAGUAUAAGUUAUGAAUAAUUCAAAUUCAAAGAGUUUUAAUGAGGAUUAAAUUAAUUUUAGAAGACAAGUCUAGCCUACAGAUUAAUUUAGAGAAGAAAGGCUAAAAAAUAGUAUUUGGUAUGCUUGGCACACCAGCUGAGUCAACUCAAUGAAAAUCUAUGUCAACCUAGUCUGAGAAUACAUCAAAAGAUAGAAAAUAAUAUUUCAGAGCACU